RNAcentral lists this ribosomal RNA (142 nucleotides) under bacterium. RNAcentral describes it as "partial 16S ribosomal RNA". The record is from RNAcentral.
CUUACGGGAGGCAGCGGUGGGGAAUGGUGCACAAUGGGGGAAAGCCUGAAGCUCCCAUGCUUGUAAAAGGAUGAUCUUCUUAAGAACCACAAGCCUGUCAGUAGCGGGCAUAAUGACGCACNUACUGAGAAGGACCCCANCC